Molecule: unclassified non-coding RNA, 348 nt
Filed under: soil metagenome
Description: partial contains 5.8S ribosomal RNA, internal transcribed spacer 2, and large subunit ribosomal RNA
Rfam family: 5.8S ribosomal RNA (bases 1-120)
Source: RNAcentral
GAUGAAGAACGCAGCGAAAUGCGAUAAGUAAUGUGAAUUGCAGAAUUCAGUGAAUCAUCGAGUCUUUGAACGCACAUUGCGCCCCCUGGUAUUCCGGGGGGCAUGCCUGUCCGAGCGUCAUUGCCGCCCUCAAGCACGGCUUGUGUGUUGGGCCCCCGCCCCCCGGCUUCGGGGGGCGGGCCCGAAAGGCAGCGGCGGCACCGCGUCCGGUCCUCGAUCGUAUGGGGCUUCGUCACCCGCUCUGUAGGCCCGGCCGGCGCCCGCCGGCGACCCCAAUCAAUCUUUCCAGGUUGACCUCGGAUCAGGUAGGGAUACCCGCUGAACUUAAGCAUAUCAAUAAGCGGAGGA